This is a long non-coding RNA of Catharus ustulatus (Swainson's thrush), 869 nucleotides long. RefSeq lists it as uncharacterized. NCBI's taxonomy places the organism in Eukaryota, Metazoa, Chordata, Aves, Passeriformes, Turdidae. The transcript has 4 exons. The record is from RefSeq and is a predicted model, not a curated record.
CCCAUGACAGGGACUCUCACACUUCCAAGAAGAAGCUGCAUGGCUUGCAAUUGAUCGUGUAGGGUCUGUCCACCACUGUUUUUCAUUGUCCUGGGCUUGGUGAGCAUUUUUGGCAUGUAAAUCAACCUCUCCUUGUAUACUUUUGUUACAAUAUUUUUGCUAUUACUGCUCUUUUUCGUAUCUCUUUGCUGCUUCCACAGAAUUGCUCUUAUCUCAACCCAUAAUCUCUGCUUUUUGUCUCCCACAGGAGGGUGGGGGAGGAACAGGUUGUGUCUUGGAGUGUCAUUCCUAAACCAUGACAAUGGGGGACUGCAAAAUCUUCCUACUGUGGUAGAUACUGGACAUGCUUAUUCAGGAGAUGCAUAUAACAAGAUGUCAGCCUUCAUCCAUGGGAGACAGCGUGGAAAGAUUUGGGCAGAAAAGGCUCUCCAUGGUUGGAUUACUCCUGCCUACUCCUGGCCAGUAUGCUCCUUGAAAUCUACUGGGACAGCAGCUACUACAAUUAUGUCAGAAGACGGGAGUGAGAAGAGAGAAGAUGAAAUUUUUUCAGCGCACAGGGAAGGCACAAAUGGAAUUAAAUGUGGGCAGCACACACAUUUUAGAAUUAUAAUUUGAAAUUAAGCCUUCAACACGAAAGCUCUGCUUCUGGGAAAUUCAUCUGAGCUAUCAGUUUCUGUGGAGACAGGUAAAAUUAUAAGGGAGGAGCAUCUGCUGCCAACGACUGACACCUGUUACUGAUAGUACAUUGUUGGCUGGUGCAAGGUCAUGGUAAUAUGGGUAGAAGGUGCCUUACAUCCUGCAAAAUUCACUAUAAUGAAAAAUGUUCCCAAGAACAUUGAAAACAAAAGCUUUACAAGGUUGAAAAAAUA